This 573-nucleotide long non-coding RNA is filed under the name Mus spicilegus (steppe mouse). RNAcentral describes it as "lncRNA (ENSMSIG00000023155.1)". The record is from RNAcentral. Lineage: Eukaryota; Metazoa; Chordata; Mammalia; Rodentia; Muridae.
CUGUGUUGCUGUAAUGUCUGCAUGUAAUGGGGAUUUGGGCAUAGCUGACAACGUUUAGCGAAAGAUGGAAUGUCGCAUAACGUAAGGGCAGAAAGCAGGUGCAGUCCGUUUGGAUGAUUUUCUCAGUGCAACAUGAUGCAGAUGUAGACAAAACACUGAGAAAUCAAGAUGCUGAUAAAGGCAGAAGUAUCCCAUGUCUAUUGACAGAAAGACAGCGUCAUCAGAACAUCAGCUUGCUCAUCUUUACCUAUAGGCUCAAGGCCAACCCAGCCCAGGCCCCAGCAAGUUCUUACGUGGCUGUCUCAAAACAACAGGCAAGGAACAUUGAGCUGUACCCAACAUCCUGUAGAAAAGCAGCCUUUGAUGAAUGCCAUGUGCUGAGGAGCCCAGGAAUGGGUUGAAACUAAGCCCAGCUGGACAGGGAUCAGGUUAGCAGUUGGAGGUCACGGGUCUCCCACCGUCAUGAUUCUUCAUGCUUCCAUGGACAGGUUUGUGAUAGAUUCAAGAAAGAGGGUUGCUAAUCCCAAAAGAACGGGUGUAGAAAGCUUUGCAAGGCAAAUAAGGCACUCCCAG